UUCUGCCCUAUCAACUAGUUGGUGAGGUAGUGGCUCACCAAGGUUGUGACGGGUAACGGGGAAUCAGGGUUCGAUUCCGGAGAGGGAGCCUGAGAAACGGCUACCACAUCUAAGGAAGGCAGCAGGCGCGCAAAUUACCCAAUCCAGACUUUGGGAGGUAGUGACGAGAAAUACCGGAGUAGACCAUAAAUUGGUUCACUAUCGGAAUGAACGUAAUUUAAUACCUUCGAUGAGUAGCAACUGGUGGGCAAGUCUGGUGCCAGCAGCCGCGGUAAUUCCAGCUCCAGUAGUGUAUAUCAAAAUUGUUGCGGUUAAAGCGCUCGUAGUUGGAUUACAAAAGCUCUAUGACGGCUAAGUCAAAAGUGUUUGGUCGUUGUGGGGUUUUUUUAUCGCGAGAGCCGUAUGUGGGAUUAAAUUCUUGUGUGCGGUCACUUGCGAAAUGUGCCUUGAAUAAAGCACAGUGCUCAAAGCAGGCGUAAGCUCGAAUGUAAUAGCAUGGAACGAAUAUGUUGAUCAUGUCGACUGUUGGUUGUUGACAUUGGUCUCGAUUAAAAGGGACAUUUGAGGGCGUUAGUACUUGGUGGCGAGGGGUGAAAUCCUUAGACCCAUCAAAGACUAACUAAUGCGAAAGCAUUCGCCAAGAGUGUUUUCAUUAAUCAAGAACGAAAGUUGGAGGUUCGAGGACGAUCAGAUACCGUCCUAGUUCCAUACAGUAAACUAUGCCAACAUGGGAUCAGCCCGGAGCUAUCCAGGUUGGUCCCUCUGCGAAACC
This 772-nucleotide ribosomal RNA is filed under the name Sphaerospora sp. IF-2006. RNAcentral's name for it is "SSU rRNA". It matches the Rfam family "Eukaryotic small subunit ribosomal RNA", at positions 305 to 1099 of the family's 1831-position model. The record is from RNAcentral. Lineage: Eukaryota; Metazoa; Cnidaria; Myxozoa; Bivalvulida; Sphaerosporidae.